Non-coding RNA from Nylanderia fulva, 139 nucleotides. The record is from RefSeq and is a predicted model, not a curated record. Lineage: Eukaryota; Metazoa; Arthropoda; Insecta; Hymenoptera; Formicidae.
ACAAGCUUGAACAUCAACAACUCAGUUGUGCAUCGGUGUCGAUGAACAACGCAACUAUAACUCUGCCUUGCGCAUCGUACUGAGACGCUGUUUCUCCCUUCUUCGACUGCUUACGACCUACAAGGCAAGAGAGAUCUCG